AUUGAACGCUGGCGGCCGGCCUAACACAUGCAAGUCGAACGAAUGGCGGACGGGUGAGUAAUGUCUGGGAAACUGCCUGAUGGAGGGGGAUAACUACUGGAAACGGUAGCUAAUACCGCAUACCAUCAGAUGUGCCCAGAUGGGAUUAGCUAGUUGGUGGGGUAACGGCUCACAAGGGCGACGAUCCCUAGCUGGUCUGAGAGGAUGACCAGCCACUCUGGAACUGAGACACGGUCCAGACGCCUACGGGAGGCAGCAGUGGGGAAUAGUGCACAAUGGGCGCAAGCCUGAUGCAGCCAUGCCGCGUGUAUGAAGAAGGCUUUCGGGUUGGAAAGUACUUUCAGCGGGGAGGCGUUACCCGCAGAAGAAGCACCGGCUAACUCCGUGCCAGCCGCCGCGGUAAUUC
RNAcentral lists this ribosomal RNA (406 nucleotides) under uncultured bacterium. RNAcentral's name for it is "partial 16S ribosomal RNA". It matches the Rfam family "Bacterial small subunit ribosomal RNA", at positions 30 to 526 of the family's 1533-position model. The record is from RNAcentral.